This 253-nucleotide ribosomal RNA is filed under the name uncultured bacterium. RNAcentral's name for it is "partial 16S ribosomal RNA". It matches the Rfam family "Bacterial small subunit ribosomal RNA", at positions 524 to 776 of the family's 1533-position model. The record is from RNAcentral.
UACGUAGGGUCCAAGCGUUAUCCGGAAUCACUGGGCUUAAAGCGUGUGUAGGCGGACGCCUAAGUGUCUUGUGAAAUCCCCCGGCUCACCCGGGGAACUGCUGGGCAUACUGGGCGUCUUGGGCCAACUAGGGGCAACUGGAACAAGCGGUGGAGCGGUGAAAUGCGUAGAUAUCGCUUGGAACGCCGAAGGUGAAAACAGGUUGCUGGGGUUGUGCCGACGCUGAGACACGAAAGCCAGGGGAGCAAACGGG